GUGCUUAUUUCAGCAGCACAUAGAUUAAAAUUGGAAUGACACAGAGAAGAUUAGCAUGGCCCCUGGAGAAGGAUGGCACACAAAUUCAUAAAGUGUUUCAUAAUUUU
This is a small nuclear RNA of Callithrix jacchus (white-tufted-ear marmoset), 107 nucleotides long. The record is from Ensembl. NCBI's taxonomy places the organism in Eukaryota, Metazoa, Chordata, Mammalia, Primates, Cebidae.